GAUGAACGCUGACAGAAUGCUUAACACAUGCAAGUCUUUGGCGAAGCUGUGCUUGCACAGCCUAGCCAAGGCGGACGGGUGAGUAACGCGUAAGGAACUUGCCCUGCAGUCAGGGAUAACAGACGGAAACGACUGAUAAGACCUGGUAAAGUCAGGCGGACUCAUGUCCAGCCUGAUGAAAAGUGAUGCUGCAGGAGAGCCUUGCGUCCUAUUAGCCUGUUGGUGGGGUAACGGCCCACCAAGGCGAUGAUAGGUAGCCGGCCUGAGAGGGUGGACGGCCACAAGGGGACUGAGAUACGGCCCUUACUCCUACGGGAGGCAGCAGUGGGGAAUAUUGGACAAUGGGGGCAACCCUGAUCCAGCAAUUCUGUGUGAACGAUGAAGGUUUUCGGAUUGUAAAGUGCUUUCAGCAGGGAAGAAAAAAAUGACGGUACCUGCAGAAGAAGCAACGGCUAAAUACGUG
RNAcentral lists this ribosomal RNA (463 nucleotides) under uncultured bacterium. RNAcentral's name for it is "partial 16S ribosomal RNA". It matches the Rfam family "Bacterial small subunit ribosomal RNA", at positions 28 to 507 of the family's 1533-position model. The record is from RNAcentral.